This 600-nucleotide ribosomal RNA is filed under the name Rhodopila globiformis. RNAcentral's name for it is "bacterial SSU rRNA". It matches the Rfam family "Bacterial small subunit ribosomal RNA", at positions 372 to 990 of the family's 1533-position model. Lineage: Bacteria; Pseudomonadati; Pseudomonadota; Alphaproteobacteria; Acetobacterales; Acetobacteraceae. The record is from RNAcentral.
UGGGCGCAAGCCUGAUCCAGCAAUGCCGCGUGGGUGAAGAAGGUUUUCGGAUUGUAAAGCCCUUUCGGCGGGGACGAUGAUGACGGUACCCGCAGAAGAAGCCCCGGCUAACUUCGUGCCAGCAGCCGCGGUAAUACGAAGGGGGCUAGCGUUGCUCGGAAUGACUGGGCGUAAAGGGCGCGUAGGCGGAUUGUACAGUCAGGCGUGAAAUUCCUGGGCUCAACCUGGGGGCUGCGUUUGAUACGUAUGGUCUUGAGUUCGGAAGAGGGUCGUGGAAUUCCCAGUGUAGAGGUGAAAUUCGUAGAUAUUGGGAAGAACACCGGUGGCGAAGGCGGCGACCUGGUCCGAUACUGACGCUGAGGCGCGAAAGCGUGGGGAGCAAACAGGAUUAGAUACCCUGGUAGUCCACGCCGUAAACGAUGUGCGCUGGAUGUUGGGCGACCUAGUCGCUCAGUGUCGCAGCUAACGCGAUAAGCGCACCGCCUGGGGAGUACGGCCGCAAGGUUGAAACUCAAAUGAAUUGACGGGGAAUCGAAUUCCCGCGGCCGCCAUGGCGGCCGGGAGCAUGCGACGUCGGGCCCAAUUCGCCCUWGGGGGNNN